Long non-coding RNA from Juglans regia (Persian walnut), 552 nucleotides. RefSeq lists it as uncharacterized. NCBI's taxonomy places the organism in Eukaryota, Viridiplantae, Streptophyta, Magnoliopsida, Fagales, Juglandaceae. The record is from RefSeq and is a predicted model, not a curated record. The transcript has 4 exons.
UGAAAACUUCAUCUUUCUCUCCAAGAAAGCCAUAGUCGACCUUCAUCUCUUUCCUUCCUCUUUUCUUUUCAUCUUCAAGAAACCAAGUUCCCCUCAUCUCCUUCAAGCCGUGCCACUCCAUAGCAAGGGAAGAAAACAUCUUCCUCCAUCUCCAAGCCAUGUGUACCUCAUCUCUACCCAUUUUCGGUUUUGACUCAAAGCUUGGAACCAAAGCUUGAUUUCAUCUUCCAAAUGGUCAAAUAUUGAAGUGCCAUCAUUUCAUUCAUCAUCUACAUGGGUUUACCACUAUUUGGUCCUCUAUCUUGCCUCUUGAAAGAAGCUAAGAGCUUCAGGACCUAUAUUGAUGUUAGAAGUAUCGGGGAGCAUAGAGGUAAAUGACGAAGAGGUUGGGGAGCAAGGCAUUACUGCAGAGGGAGAGGCAGACACUUAGUGUCUUCCUUAUUGGUUCGACCUUACAUGGAUGAUGGGUUAUGUUUAUGGAUGUUGUUUUUAUGUUGGGAUGGAGUCUCUUCCUAACUAAAAUAGUUAUAUUUUUAUGAACGUAUGAUGGAC